UUUCAAGUGAAUUAUAGCUGCAAACGAAAUGACGGUCUACAAUAUGUAUAUAGAACAUCAAGUAUAAAACACUUUGAAGUAUCAGCCAUAACAGCAAACAAAAUAAACAUAGGCCUACAAUAUGAAUAUCAAGUAAAUUUGAUUAUUUUAAGUAACAGCCAUAAGAUUAAACAAAAUAAAUAAAUGACACAAAUAAGAAUAUAAAAUACCAAAAGUAAUACAAUCAAAGUGCAGCAAACAAAAUAGACAGCAGCGACAACGUUUCCGUGUUUCUUUUACAAUUUAUUUUUGCCUUGUGCUGCCUUUCAGGGGUUUGGUUGAGGGCCAGGAAUACAAGCUGGUCAACCCCCUCUGGUUUUAAUGAUGACCUAAUACAUAUCACAAUAUUCCCACUUGUGCUGAACGCCCGCCCUGAUGGGGCUCUUGUGGCCGGGAUGCACAAAUAUUUCUUUGCUAGCCUGGCCACCAGUGUGAAAUAUGUCUUGUCCUGCUUCCACCAUUCCAGGGGGUAGCUCUCUGUUUGGAGGUAGUUGCUGAACUCCCUUUCUCUCUGAGGGGUGGCUUGGUCUUGCACUGCUGCUUUUUUUAACAACUGGUGGAAUGGAGACUGCGUCUUCUGACGCUACUUGUAUAGGUGCUAGCCUCUCAAUUUCUGCCGCAGAUUUCGUCUUCAUGUAGUCCUCCUUCUCUUCUUUUAUGUAAGUGGUUUUGAACCAAGGAUCGAGAAGUGAACCCAUGUCAAGCAGCUCCUCUGUGGUUUCGUCAUCAAACUUCUCAUUUAAGUAAUUGAGGAUAGUGCCUUUGAUGGACGUGGUGAGCGGAAUGUCGUCAUGUUGACGCUUGAGAACUUAGUUAUUAAAAAGGUGGUGCACGGGUUUCACAACAGAUACACUUGUGUACUGCUCCCCAGACAAGGCAUCUGUAAACUCCAUGAGGGGGCUGAGUUCCUUGUUGAUAGACUCCAGAACACCCAUUUCCUGCCAGAUGUCGUGUCUUCUUGUCUGCUUGGAUGACCUGUGUUAGAGCUUUCUCCUGCUCCCUUUUCAAUCAUCUGUUGUCAAGAUCCCCAUCUGGUGGGGGUCUCUGUGAUCAGCUGAUGAGCAGGCAAGCCCAGCUCUACUUCAGCCUUGGUCAGCUCCUGUCUUCUCUUACAAGAAUUAGAGAAGGCACCCACCAACUUCUUGCAGACACCAACUGCACGCUCCACUUGUGGUAGUUUCACACCUCGCUCUGUCAAGAUAAAGGGAAGGUAAAAGUAAUUUUUCCACAAUAGCUUGUAAUUGCACUUUACAGGACAGGUGGCAUGGCAUUUAUAACAAUUACAAUUAUUUAUGACAUUUUUAAAUUAUAUUUAUUAAUGAAAAAUUAUUGUUUUAUAAUUAUUUUGAAUUAUAUGCAUAGCUAACUGCCAGAAACCCCAGCUGAACUGGCAUACAUGUUGUAAAAAUAUUUAAUCAGCAAUGCAUUUUCUUGUGUUAAAAUACUUCUAACUUCUUUCAAUCAAAUAAUAACAACAGAGAACCUUAUCGGUCCUCCAAAUAACCAUUAUUAUUAACCUAUGAGCAUUAAUGAUUUUACUCAUUAGACACUCACCAAUAGCUAGAUGAAGUCAAUGGCCAAAACACUAAUCUCCUCCAGUCUUUCCGCUCCAUAGCACUGAUAUUGUUAGUGGCGUUGUCCAUGGUGACACAGACUAGCUGAUCUUCCAGCAAUCCCCAUGACUCUAGAGCUUCCUUAAGACCCUUGGCUAUAAGCUGUCCUUAUGGUCAUUGGGGAAAUACCUAGUCUGUAGACAUCGACUACACAGUGUCCAGUCUUUGAUUAAAUGGAUUGUCAAGCUCAAAUAAGGCUCUGUCAUUCGGCUCGUCCACAUGUCGGUUGUUAUUGCAUAGUACGUUACCCCGCUAAGCUUCACUACAACUUUAGCCCUACAUUCUUCAUAUAAACGUGGCAACUAAAUUUCACCAAAUGCUUGCGGCUUGGCAUAACAUACCUCAGGUUUUGACUAAUGAUUUAAACCCUGUCUUCUCAACGGUGUAAAUCGGCACCAUGUCUUUGCAUAUGUGUAUCGUAAUGGCACACGUUAUCUCCUUUCAUGUUCCUGAUGUCUUGUCAUAUGGAGUGCCUCGGGCAAAAGCAUCCUUCAAAGUUUGCGUCUGAUGUUUGCUUUUAACACUCGACUUUCCUUUGAUAGUUAAAAUUUUUUGUCUCUCUCGGUACUGCAUCAUGAUUCUUUUCUAGGUGAUCAAAUAGGCUUGUUGUGUUUGAGUCGGAAUUGGGACUGAUCUGCGGUAUACUAAGUUUGAUUUUUUGCUGUGUCUGAUUUUUCAUACCCAAACCAAUUCCAAACAACAGACGUAGCCCCCCUCUUUUUUAUGAACUCAUCUUGUCUUGGUUGGGCAGAAUCCUUUUGCUUAUCCGAAUGUUGGGAAGAAUCCCGGGACGAACGUUCAGUCUCAUCCUCCUCCAUGUUUGUGUGUUUUCACUCACACAUGCAAAUAAAUGUUGCUGUAAUGCAGUUAUAUGGUUGAUUAUUGAUAUAGCAAAAAAAUAUACGAAAACAAAUAUUUAAAAAAUAUAUUCUUUCAUUUUAAAUUUCAAAUAUAUUAUUCUAUUGCACAGCCCUAUAUGGCAACUUCAAAAACCUUCCAAAACACAUCUUUCAAAUACAUUAGACUAUGUAUACUGCUAGAUUGAUGAUGAUGGAGAAACUAUUCUUCAACAGAGAAAAUCAGUUGAUGUUUCUUUUAUUUAGAGUUAAGAUACACUCUCUCUUUGGUCAAGAUGAUAAGCUAAUGUUAGCUAACUAAGUUGUGUCCAAGCUUCCAUUUCCAUUUCCUCCUGGAAAUUUGUGUUACAGCCUAGCUAAUGUUUGUAGUAUUCUCUGCAAAAGAUUAAAACAUUUGUAUUGUGAGUUGUUUGACCAAACCUAAUGCAUAAGCAACUAUUGCUCGGAAUAAGCAAUUGCAUUACCUUUUAGCUAGGUUAAGCUGUGUGCAAGCUGGUCAAAACAUGCAAAUAUUGCUUCCCAUCAAUGGACUUACUGUCACGCGCUAUUUACUCAGCAUAAAUAUGCUUUCAAGUCUGCUAGCUAGCCAUCAACGAGUCCCUGAAAUAUCAUAUUGUAUCUAAAGCAAUAGUUAGCUCAGAUUAUGUUUGGAUGAGUUCAGCUGUUAACUUUCCUUAUUCUGUGUUCUUUAGUUAUGAAAAGGGCCCAUCAACUUCGAUCCCAUCUAAAACUCAUCUGUGUUAAUUGCUCCAGAAUGGACGGUUGGAGGUGACAUUGCUUCAGACCGCUCAGUAAGCUCGUAGUUAGUAAUGUUAGUAAUGAUAGUGUCAGAUCCUAAUGGAGUUAGAACCGAUAUUUAACUCACUGCCAAUAGGUGGUGUAAACUUAGCAUAGGUCACCUUUAAGCUUUGAUCACAAGGAGUAUAAGACAAGUCAAAAACAUAAUUAUGCUAUGCGUUAUCUGAAUUUUAACUUUUAAAAGUGUGGCAGAUACUGGUCAGUUUCUUUUAUAUAUUUGUGCAAGAUGGUUGAGGACGGGGAUUAGUGUAACUAUCUGUUUAAAGAAAAGUAAAUAUUGGGCUGGGAUUUCAAAAGUUAUUUAGGUUGAUAUUACCUAUCAAAUGUAAACCAGAAAAGGAACCAGCUUUUAUGGCCCACGAUUAGAAGGGAUGAAUGUUGUCCCUGGCUGGACUUUAACCAUUACGCUAUUUAAACAGCGGGAAUCACAAUCUAUGUACAUUACAAUUCCCUUCUGUAUAAGCCACAAAUGAAAUACGGUACAAAUACCACAUUGUAACAUUUUUAAGGUAAAUAUUUAAAUGCAUCGAAAUAAUUAACGUAUUCAUCAUCCUUAAAGAAAAGACUGGCAAUAUCACAGCUACCAUAUAAACCAUGCAUGCGUCACGUAAAUUGCAUUGCUGACUAUUAAUAACCAAAAUACACACUAAAUAAUCCAAUACCAAAAAUAUAGAUUAACCUUUGUUAGGGAUGCGCUACUGAAAACCAUACUCACAGGCUGUAUACCUUGUAGCAAAAACAACAAUAGAUGUAGUAAGAUUGGAUUGUACUUUGAUGAACUCUCAC
Esox lucius (northern pike) is the source of this 4093-nucleotide long non-coding RNA. The record is from Ensembl. NCBI's taxonomy places the organism in Eukaryota, Metazoa, Chordata, Actinopteri, Esociformes, Esocidae.